UACGUAGGGACCGAGCGUUGUCCGGAUUCAUUGGGCGUAAAGAGCUCGUAGGCGGCUAUUCAAGUCGAACGUGAAAUCUCGGAGCUCAACUCCGAAACUGCGUUCGAUACUGGGUAGCUAGAGUCUGGUAGGGGGAUCUGGAAUUCCUGGUGUAGCGGUGGAAUGCGCAGAUAUCAGGAGGAACACCGGUGGCGAAGGCGGGAUCCUGGGCCAGUACUGACGCUGAGGAGCGAAAGCGUGGGGAGCAAACAGA
This 253-nucleotide ribosomal RNA is filed under the name uncultured bacterium. RNAcentral's name for it is "partial 16S ribosomal RNA". It matches the Rfam family "Bacterial small subunit ribosomal RNA", at positions 524 to 776 of the family's 1533-position model. The record is from RNAcentral.